UGCCGCACUACACACUCGGGUUUAAGAUGUGCAAUUUCCUUCAGUUGGAUUAUAUUUUUAGUGGUUUAUCUGUGGAAGCUUAAGUAUUUAAAUAUCCUUGAUUAUAUUUGAUUCGUAUUACAAUGUGAUAAACUGCCGAUAAUUUCGUCAUGUCGAUUUUAACCAUCACUGCUUUACUUCUAUGGACUAUGAUAUCAAAUGUAUCUUCACAAGCAUGCAGACAUAUCUACAUAGCUCACUGUAUACCUGGACAGCAGCGGUGUCGUGACUCCCCCGAUAGUAUCAUGUGUACAGAUUGUGAAGAUCCUUACUAUUCCGGGGGAUAUGAUCAAGGUUGUUUAAAUGAAGUUUUGAAAGGAUUUACAUGAAACAAUAACUUGAUAGACGGUUUAUUUACAAAGUGCAAAGAACAAGGAUGACAACUCUGUAUUCAGGAUUUACAUACUUAUCGUCAUUUAGUGAAUCUUUUUGUGAUAAAUAUAACUGCCAUAGUAGUGUAAACAUUUAAAUAUAACUUCGAAUACGUGUAAAAGUAGUUGAAAAUAAAUGCACGGUUAAAGCAACACAUUUUAUCAGUUGUGUGGGAAUUAUGACUCUUUGCUGAAUGGUGGUAUUGUCUUUGUGUAAAGAAUGUAAAGGAUUUACAUGAAGCUUAUAAUUUUGAUGUGCAGUGCAUCAAGUUUGUGUUUAGAGCAUACGUA
This is a long non-coding RNA of Dreissena polymorpha, 701 nucleotides long. RefSeq lists it as uncharacterized. The record is from RefSeq and is a predicted model, not a curated record. NCBI's taxonomy places the organism in Eukaryota, Metazoa, Mollusca, Bivalvia, Myida, Dreissenidae. The transcript has 3 exons.